Bubalus bubalis (water buffalo) is the source of this 374-nucleotide long non-coding RNA. RefSeq lists it as uncharacterized. The transcript is spliced from 3 exons. NCBI's taxonomy places the organism in Eukaryota, Metazoa, Chordata, Mammalia, Artiodactyla, Bovidae. The record is from RefSeq and is a predicted model, not a curated record.
AAGCCUGAACCACUUAAAGGAGAUAGAUCACCAAGUGAAAAGGUGUGAAAGUGCUUCCCAGACAGUGGGGGAGAAAAUGUAAAGGCACUGAGACCCAAGAAAGCUGGUUAUACAUGCGUUGAAUAUGACUGCAAUAAGGAAUGGGAUCAGAGAAGGCAAUGGCACCCCACUCCAGUACUCUUGCCUGGAAAAUCCCAUGGACAGAGGAACCUGGAUAAUGGUGGCUUUGUAGAAUGAAUUGGGAGAUACUCCAUCUUCUCAGUUUUUAGGAAUAGUUUGAGAAGUUUGGAUAUAAGCUAUUCUUUUUAUGCUUGGAAAAUUCUGCUAUGAAGCUGUGUGGACCUGAAUUUUAUUUUGCUAAAAGAUCAAAUUGC